RNAcentral lists this ribosomal RNA (498 nucleotides) under uncultured bacterium. RNAcentral describes it as "bacterial SSU rRNA". It matches the Rfam family "Bacterial small subunit ribosomal RNA", at positions 19 to 518 of the family's 1533-position model. The record is from RNAcentral.
AUGGCUCAGGAUGAACGCUGGCGGCGUGCUUAACACAUGCAAGUCGAACGGGCCUUAAGGAGGCAGAGGCUACGGCCGAAGCGCCAUAAGGUUAGUGGCGGACGGGUGAGUAACGCGUGGAGAACCUGCCCUGUACUGGGGGAUAACAGCGGGAAACCGCUGCUAAUACCGCAUAAGCGCACGGAGCCGCAUGGCCCUGUGUGAAAAACUGAGGUGGUACAGGAUGGCUCCGCGUUGGAUUAGCUAGUUGGCGGGGUAACGGCCCACCAAGGCGACGAUCCAUAGCCGGCCUGAGAGGGUGGACGGCCACAUUGGGACUGAGACACGGCCCAGACUCCUACGGGAGGCAGCAGUGGGGAAUAUUGCACAAUGGGGGGAACCCUGAUGCAGCGACGCCGCGUGGGUGAAGGAGUGCUUCGGCAUGUAAAGCCCAAUCAACGGGGAAGACAAUGACGGUACCCGAGCAGAAGCCCCGGCUAACUACGUGCCAGCCGCCGC